RNAcentral lists this long non-coding RNA (6523 nucleotides) under Homo sapiens (human). RNAcentral describes it as "HSALNT0359530". The record is from RNAcentral. Lineage: Eukaryota; Metazoa; Chordata; Mammalia; Primates; Hominidae.
AGACAAGGACUAGUAUAGAGUCCUGAAGUCCGAGACGCUGCGGGCGAGGCUGCACAGAUCCGGUUCCUGAACCAUUGAUUCCCGCGUGGCUGCACCUUCCCGACCUAGGCCAGUUCUGGGAGGCUUGCUGUCCACGAACCAACGCCAGGGAAGGAUGCCCCAGGAGUGUGUUUUUUUCAGCUGCUGCGCGGGGCAGGAAAACUUCCUGGCGGCGCUAUCUACUCGAAACUGUCUGCUCUCAACCGUAAACCGGCUCCGUGGGAUCUCAGCCUCCUAGGACGUAGAAAGCUUCCUCCAAAUCUCCCCGGGGGUCACGUUGGCACAAACACCUUCAAACCGUCUGAGAACGAAAAAGACCUUUCUCACUUGGAAAGAAACGUUUACUGCAGUCUUGUUUAAGUAACAUGUUUAAGUAACGUCUUAUGCGGCCUUCGCCGCGUCCAGCCUGGAGGUCCGGGCCUUCGGUCGGCACUGGGAGAGCGAUCCCCAAGGUUCCGCUAGACCUUCGCUGCGUCAGCGGACGGCCAGGUCUGCGGGCCUAGCCCCCCGAUUGCCCUUGGCCCCUGAAGCUGCAGGGACGCCCAGCCAUCACCACUGCCCCGGCGCAGUUCCUGCUCGGCUCGCCUGACCCUGCGGAGAUGUGGGGGUCGGGUGGGGCCGUGGGCUGCUGGCCUUGCUCAGAAUCAGCCAGGGAACAGCAGAGAGGGCCGAGGCACCAGGCGGGUGCGGCGCGCCAGGACGCACGCCACAGGGGUCAGAAGGAGUGGCGCUCCCUAGGAACCAGGUCCAGGCUCUGGACCUCGCAGCCUCGCCUGCAUGUCAGGUCGGAGUCCCCGGUUCGGUACCUCCAGGUUGCAGCGACUGUAAGGGCCCCAAGCCUCAUUGUGCCCUGCCUGGUACUGGCGCCCCGUCUCCAAGCCCGUGCACGUAGGGCCUAGCAGUGCUGGGCUUUUUCCUGGGGCAUCUCUCUCCAUCCGCCCGCCAAGGGCCUGGGGCCCUAGCGAAGAGGACUAGGGAGACUUGGUUGGCCCGCACAAGGUGGGCCUUUGUCCUUGAACCUGCCUCUACGUUCUCGAACUCCCCUCCACCUCUCCGCACUCCUGCCAGCCAGAGGCGAGGACCUUCUUACCUCUUGAGGCUCGCCACAUCCUGAGGCCAGGCAGAGCUUCUGAGUCGGGGAUCCUAAAACGCGCGCGCUCUUCCGCCUGCAGUCCUCCUCCUCUCCCUCACUGCUAGCCUUUUUCCCCUCGUAGCCCCUUCCUCUCUGACGGAGCCCAUUUUACUCUGCCACCCCUUUUCCCUUCUGCCCUUCCCCCACUUCCUUUCUUCCUCACCUCCUCCCCCAUCUCCUCAGCUUCCUUUCUUACUGUUUCCACUCCUCCCCACCUGUUUCCCUCCUGCCCAUUUUCUCACUCUUCCCCUCAUCUUGUUUCAUUCCCCUCUUUUCUCUCCCUUCUUACCCCCUCCACUCUGAUGCUCUCAGGCUUUUUGAUUGUGGCCCCUGCAGAUGUUUGAUGUGAAGGGAAUCAGGGCAGCACAGGAGGGCUUCGCCGAGGUGGGGUGAGACUAACUGAGCAAGACUCCACUCCUGAGCCUCACAUUCCUUCCCCUAUCCCACCCCUCUGCUUCUGACCCUCAGGGCUGCUCAGGAAAAUGCCCAUGCAUCCCUGGGCUUGUGAAAGGGAAGCUACUCUGUGCCCUGUUCCAACUGUCUGAAGAGAACCAGAACAGAGCUGGAGGUGACCAUGAGGCCUGGGCCCCAGGCAUCCCUGAGAGCAGAUGGGGGCUCCCAGACCAGGAACACCCACCCCCACUGCACCACACACAGGUGAGAGCAAACUGACUUUCCUUUCUUUCCCAACAGUCCCACUUUAGACUGGGGGUUGUAUUGUCUUGAGAUCACCCCAACUGGAAGGUGUUUCAGAGAUUGCCUUAAAAUGCAGGGGCCAAAUCUAAGAGAAAAGAGUGGGGUCCCUGGCUUCUCACACCAGCCAAGGACAGAGCACUCUAGCUGCUCUGGGUCCACCAAUAAUCUCCUACCUUUUCCCUAACUGGGGCCAGUGGGGGCCACUGAGUCACUGGCCUCCUGAGAGGGGACUAAGUCUCAUGCAUUCUCCCCUGGGAGCUGGGCUCCCCAGAUGCAUGGCAGGCAGCCAGCCAGCCACCCUCUACCUUUUACCUUCCAGCUGCAGCCAUACUUUUGAGAUUGGUGGCAGUUUCAUCUCCUGAGAAAUAUAGGUUUCCAGUAGGUGGAUAGAGACAUGAUAUAAAUGUUUCUACAGACAUGUCUUUCUCCUUGAAUGAAGAGGAAAGUGCUUUCCUGUGUAAACACAUUAGUGAGUGCACAUGUGGAUGGGCAUGGGGAAGAAGGCACUCAGGACUCCCCAUAAAUGUAGACUCCACAUUAGGGCUCUGCUCUUUCAGAUCAUGUGGUCAUUAACACAAGGCUGGCCAACACUCAUUCUAAAUUCCCUCCCUCCUUCCCCACCCACCCCGCCCCACAAUAAUGUGAAUUACUGGUAGUGACAUGAGAUUUGGAGAGAAAUGUUUAUAUGAUCCAAGAUGAAAAUUAAGUUCCAUGACUAUCAGAUGCACUAUUUCUAUAAGGCAAUUUAUGGGAUCAUUACAAUUAGUCUUGUACAAAGUAGUUCCAUAAGGGCCUGUCUAAGCUGUAGUCAGAGAAGAGGGAAUAGAUUUUAUUACCAGAAUUGUAAUGACUGUGUGUGUUGUUGAAAGUAAUAAAACUACAUUGAAAUAUUCUGAAAUUUAGACUUUUAAAAACUCCAUGUGUCAUGCCCUCCACAUUAGUAUAGUAGAAGGGUGGCCUGUAUGUAUAUAUAUGUAUGUAUUGUGCCCCCACAUAAGUGAGCAUGUACACAGGCAGAUGUGAAUAUCUUAUACCUCCCACAACUGGUAAGUCAGUAAGCAUGCAUGUGAAUGGCUGUAGACAGACCUCCUGAGCAUUCAUGUGCAAAGGUUGCCCCGGUGACACCCUCCUCUGCAAGGAGAGUCCAUAGAUGAGGAGGUUGAGUUUGGGAUGGGGCCCAGGGAGAUGUUGCUUUCUCUAAGUUAUAAUCAUAAGUCAUGCCUCUGUCUUGGGCUGGAGCACUGGCCCUGUAGUCCACCAGAUCUAGGUGUGGAGUCCUGCUGUUUUUGUAGUCUUGUGACUUUGAGCCAGUCUUUCAACCUUGUUAAAUGGCUGUUUUCUCACUUACAAAAGAAGAUAAUAAUGGUGUGGACUUUAUAGGCCUGCCUUAAAGAUUAAGAAAAGCACUUACAGAGCGUUCCACACCUAUGAGAGGAGAAACGGUUCUUGCGGUGGCGGCUGGGGGUGUGCGUGGUGAGGGGCGGUUGUUAGGCACAGAGGUGCCGAACCUCUCCUCUAGCUGAGCAGAGAUCGGCGGAGAGUUGGGUUCCCAGGCCCUCUGUUUUCCCACUUAGAAAAGCAUUAUUUAAUUGUCCAUCAAAUUUUGUGUUUUUGGGGGUCUUCAAACAAGGACACUAAUUCUUAAUCAUUAGUUUUAGGAAAUACUCUCAGAAUGACCAGCAGCCUCCUCUCAGCCUCCCCACUCCCCCAGUAGCCACUCCCGACCCUCUGAAGCUAAAGCAGCCGCAAACAAAACCCGCACUCCAACCCAGCUUCCCACUCCCACAAAUGCAUCAUUUUUAGCUGCUGUAAACAAAUCCCUGAAGUCUCAUGUCAUUGUUAUCGUGUUGAGAUAAAGAUCUGGCCAAUUAGCCUCCCCGCUGGAAUGCAAAUAAAUCAGCUGCUGGGGACCUGCCCUGGCGGUGGGUGUCCCUCUCUCACCCAGGCCUUGCCCUGCACCAAACUGUGCCCUCUCUCCUUUUACCUCUGCGGUGGGUGACAGCAUCUGGCCAUUGGAUUUGCCUGGUUUCUUAUCUCUCCGCUUGGCCCCACAACUGCUGUGUGACUUUAGGCAAGUCACUUACCCUCUCUGAGCCUGUUUCCUUUCCAUAAAGGAGUUACUGGCGGCUACCUUUUAGGGUUGGUAGUGAGUGGCUGUAACAAUAGAAAUAAUACAGCUGACAACAAUAACAUUAGCAAUCCCACCACCAAUGACCAUACGGACAGAACUAGCUACUGUUCAUGGCUUUUCUACAAGCACCAAUGGGCUCAGAGGUGAAGAGCCUCCCCUCCCCACCCAGCCCCCACAUAAACUGGCAGACCAUGGUCAAGAGACUUCUACUGGGCUGGGAGAGUCCGCUGUCUCAUUGGGUAUGAAGAUCCCAGAACAUCUCCAGGCUGCUGUAAACUCUUGCUAAGUGUCCGCCAUUGUUACUGCUUCUGCUUCUUGCAACAGCUCUUGUCUUUGGCCCUAUUAAUAUAACCAUUUCAGAGGAGGGAACUGAGGCUCAGAAGGGUGAGGUAAAUUGCCCAAAGUUGUUAAAAUUCCUUGCCUUGAACACUCAGCUUCCUCUCUUCCCCCGCGCCACGCAGGGACUGCCUGCCCAGACGCAGUUCUCUCUACUCUGCGAAUUCCUGCUCCCUACUCGACAGCCCUCCCCCUCCUCAAAUCUUCCUGCAGAGCCCUGACGGUGGUUCACAGCCCCCGAAAAGAAUGUGCCCCGGUGACAGGAUUGACGGGAAGCUGCCUUGAAAAUAAACACUGCCGGACGGUGGGGCGGAGCCUCCUCUAGCCCCCUCCCCUUCCCUCCUACGUGUACCCCCACCUCCGCCCCCCAGAGCAGUUUCCUUUCUCCCUACCUCCGUCCUUCGCUUUCUAUUCAGUAUGGGGCUGCCAGCCCUCGUCCCCGCCUUCUGAAGUGCCCACUGUCAAGUUAACACUAAUCAUGAUAAUAAACUUUCCACCGGUGAACAAAGCGUUCCACACAAAGGUCUCUUCUGAUCGCUACAUCCCUCGGAGAAAAGUAUCAUCGCCCCUCCCGCCCCAUGUUAGAGCCUUGGACAUUGAGGCCCCAGAAAUAAAAUUAUUUGUCCAAGGUCACGAAGCAAGUAAGGAGUGGGUGCAGGACGCCUCCGCUCCACGCCUGGGUGGGCUGGAGACAACGUCCUGCCCCAGCCAGACUCCGGGAACCAUGACUCCACGGCCAUCCGGCCCCAGGGAGGCGUUUUUCCAAGUGACCCCGCCUCCCCCCGCGACCCCCGCAGGGUUGACCUAUUGUCCCGGAGGCCUCGCUCGCCUCCUCCUGGGCGGUAUCUGCAACCCCGACGCCAGAGCAGGGCCCGCUGGGAGCCCACUGCUGGGUCCCUGGGAAUAGGUCACAGGGCUUUCCAAGGAGGCUCCCCUCCUGCCUCUGUCCUGACCUCUUAGACCACUCUGCCGAGGGAGAAGUAGGAACUUCCCACUGGAAAGCAAACCCCCUGCAGCACGGCGGAGCCGGGAAUGCGCUGGAGCUAGCCUUCAGACCUUGGCAGCCAGGCACCCCGGAAUCUGCGCAAGUGGCUGCAUCUCGGGGAGGCACCGUGCACUUCCUGGAGCAGAGCUGUGGAUUCAAAUUCUGUCUCCAUGGGUCUCCAGGCAAAUUCCGUAACCUCUCUGAGGUUUCUGCUUUUCUGACUUGUGGAACUGGGAAUACUAGAAGCAUCUACCUCUUAGGUCGCCUAAGGAUUCAAGGAAAUUACCUCUGUGAAGCACUUAGCGUGGUGCCUGGCACAAGAAACGCCCAAUAAAUGUUAGUUUAUUAUUAUGAAGCCCGGGACAAGUGGAGGUUGAUUUUUUUCCGUUUGGGGUGUGGGCUCUGUGUCCUUGCUCACACGGAGGCUGCCGAUGUGACCAGGUGGCGCCCUUUGAGGCCUUGGCUGGCCACGGGGAGAGGGGUAGAGUUUUUGAAGAGCCGGGCUCACCCCGGUUACUCUGUUUGGGGCGGGCCCCGGCGGUUACGUUAAUGCGAGCUGCGGCCGCCUGGCGACCUCGCUGUGUGCGUCUGUCCUGAGCCGCGUGCGUGUCGCGGCCUGUGAGUGUUAGGAGCCGGGUCCCCUUUGACGCGCUUGAGGGGACCUCACCUGCGCCUGGUUUAGAUUUUGGCCGGGACAAGAACCUCAGAUUCACCUGACGGAUGCGUGGCGUCCACGCUGUGUACACAAACCCCAGCGAGGCUGGAGUCCGGGUGCUCGGUUCAUCGAACAAUUUGCGCUAUUAAUGGUUAUUUUAUUUAUAUCGUUAGAAUUGUUCCCCCGGGUCUGUUUACACCAAACGUCUGGCCGUCCCGGCUGCACUGUUUGGACAGAGGAUUAUACUAAUGGAUAACGAGCUAGGAGGGGAGAAGAAGGCGCGGCUGGAAACGGGGCUCCAGGACACCGCGCCGGGUGGGCCUGGAGGGAAAGGGGAGCGGGGCCUCUCCCAGGCUCGACCUCUGACCUUAGAAGGGAAGGAAACUUGUCAGCCGCAAUUGGAAACCUUGGCCUCCAGCGGGGUGGAGGCUGGCUGCUCCCGGGACCCCUACCCCUCUUCUCUCUAGGCGGAUACCAAACUCGAGGUCGUCUUGCUUGGGUGAGCGCGCGUCAACAAGUAAACAAGACCGGGAGCUACCAGGAUGGCGG